GUUAUUUUUUAUUUUUUUACAACCCCUGUAACAAGGGCUGACUUGCAAUAAAUCGCAGCAAGGAAGCUCCUCUGUGACCCAGAAGCAGGAUGUCUACAAAUGGUUCAGCACCAGGUUCCCCACAAAGGUCCAGGGCAUGAUGGCCAAGGGGGCAGCCUGGCUUUCAGUCCAUAUGCCCUAUUUCCCAGGAUGAAGGGCUCUCGGCACCAGACUGGACCCCAGUCCCGAGGCACAGCGGCCUUCUAUGGGGGACAGUGGGGACAGGCGCGGCGGGGGAAGGGGAUGCUAUCUGAGGCCAACCGAGGCUCCUGUGGUACUGCCCUACUGUUCCGCCUGGGUGGGAUUCUGACUUAGAGACAUUCAGUCAUAAUCCCACAGAUGGUAGCUUUGCCCCACGGGCUCCUCAGCCAAGCACAGGCACCAAGUGAGGACCUAGUAUAAAAUUUGUAGCAUUAGUCAAGCUAGGGAUGUGCUGUUUGAUUUUGUGUCCUCAUCAGAGUCACCAUUUAUUUAUAUGCACAUGGCACUCUGGCGAACACAGGGACAAACAGGAUCCAGCUCCAUUACCUGCCAAAAAGAAACGACUAUUCCAACCUUAGAUUCAACACGCCCACCAGUCUCGUGAGUAUGUGGGUGGCCAGACCUAGGAAAGGCAAGUGUGUUCCUCCCACUGGUCCGUCUCUUCCCUGAGACCCUGGAUACCGGCUCUUCUUCACAGAGGAUUAUCCUGGGGUUAUUCAGAUGAUGAUGCUUUUGCAGAGAGAAAGCAUCUAGCCAUAACCUCACUUGUCAUUCAGAUGAACACUGCCAAACUUGCUGAAAGGUGGCUCAAAGAGUGGCCCUAUGACUAUCUCGGUGUAUCCAAUUUCCUGUCUGUCUCAGUUUCUUCUUCAGACAAUGUUGACAUUAGAAGGACACCCUCCCACCCCUGCACCUCUGCUCACAACCAGAACAGGGAUACAUCUGUUUUAGUCUGAGAGUCCCGAAUGGAUUCUUGCAAGAGAUUAUAAAAUGACGAAGAUCCAAUGAAAUGGCAAGCUAUAGAAGGAAGAAAGUAUCUGCAAAUCAAAUAUCUGAUAAGGGGUUAAGAUCCAAAAUAUACAAAGAACUCUCAACAAUACAACAACAACACAACAACAAAUGCCAUUUUAAAAAUGGCUGAGGAACUAAAUGAUUAUUUUUCCAAAGAGGACAUACAAAUGACCAACAGAUACAUGAAAAGAUGCUCAACAUCACUAAUCAUCAGAGAAAUACAAAUCAAAACCACAAGGAGAUAUCACUUCACAUGUGUCAGAAGAGCUAUUAUCAGAAAGCAAGAGAUAACCUGAAAAAAGGACAGAAUGAACUUCUUUGCAGAACAGAUACUGACUCACAGACUUUGAAAAACUUAUGGUUUCCAAAGAAGACAGUUCAGGGGUUGGGGGGAGGCACUGGGGUUGUGGGCUGGAAACCCUAUAAAACUGGAUUGUGAUGAUCAUUGUACAACUAUAAAUGUAAUAAAUUCAUUGAAAAAAAAAAAGAGAUAACCAGUGUUGGUGAGAAUGUGGAGAAAAGGAAACACUUUUGCACUGUUGGCAGGAAUAUAAAAUUGGUGCAGCCACUAUGGAAAACAGUAGGAAGGUUCUUCAAACCUCAAAAACUUAAAAAUAGAAUUAACAUAUGCUCUAGCAAUCCCACUUCUGGGUAUAUAUUCAAAGGAACUGAAGUUACUAUCUCAAAGAGAUUCUGUAGCUCCAUGUUCCCUGUAGCCUUAUUCACAAUAGCCAAGACAUGGAAACAACCUAAGUGUCUAUCAACAGAUGAACAGAUUUUAAAAAUAUGGUGUAUAUACACAAUAGAAUAUUAUUCAGCCAUAAUAAAACAGGAAAUCUUGCCAUUUGGGAGAGUAUGGAUGGAUCCUGAAGGUAUCAUGCUAAGUAAACUAUGUCAGAUGUAUGAUCUUACAUGCAGAAUUGAAAAAAAAAAACUGAUAGAAACAGAACAGUUUGGUGGUUGCCAGAGGGUGAAGGUGGUCACUAGGUACACACUUCCAGUUAUAAGAUAAAUAAGUUCUGGAGCUAGAAUGCAUAGCGUGGUGACAAUAGCUAAUAAUACUAUAUUGUAUAUUUGAAAGUUGCUAAGAGUUAAUCUUGAAAAUUCUCAUCAUGAGAAAAAAAUGUAACCGUGUGAGGUGAUGAAUGUUAACUAAACUUAUAAUAGUGAUCAUCUCACAAUACAUACAAAUAUUGAAUCAUUAUGUUCUACAUCUUAAGCUAAUACAAUGUUAUAUGUCAAUUGUAUCUCAAUAAAAUUGUAUCUCAAAACCCACUGCAUUUCAUUAGGAUACUUCUUCCCCAAUGCUGUUAUCCAUAAUUUUGGGCUGCCUUUUUUUUUUUUUUUAAUACCCUGGGUGGAUAACCUGCAGUUCCCCUCAUGACACACUCUCACACAGAUAGAGAGAAGGUGACUGGGAGUUGAGCAUGGCUGAGCCUCUACUCUGGUGGUCUCACAGGUAUGCAAGGUUUGAGUUUCUAAAUUCAGUUUCAGGAGCAAAGGAGGAGGCGGAUGUCCUACUGCACGGUUAAAUACAGUUUUCUUCAUAUAUCCUAGUUAGUAGAUGUAAAAUUGUGACUGCUUUUGUUUUUUAGCAGUUUACAUGAGAGGCAUAAUUUGUAAAAAUCAACUAUUCAUACACAGCCAAUUCUAUAUUAUUCACAAUUAGAUAAAGUGGAAGAAUGAUACAUAAAAUCUCAGGCAAGGUGCAACCCCCCCAACAUGUAUCAUGCGUGACUGGGGAGGGCUGUGGGGAAGAGGAGGAGUUAUCUUUUAAGUCAUAUUGUCAUGGGGCAGAGUGGAGAUGCUCAGCCAUUAGUAGCCCCACUCAGCCAACAGCAUCUCAGUGGCCUGGGUAGCAGCAGUCACCCAGAUAGCUAUUGGGUGGUCUGAGGAGCCUGAGGGCUGAAUGGAUCCUCAGCACCUGACUUCUGCAACCAUGAUGACUGGACUGGGUCUGAGGAUCUAGCCAGGAGGGCACUGCCAGCUGAUAUCUGCUUCUUCCUGGGCACUGGUGGAAGGACCCAGGCUGGGUGCUGCACGAAUGCUCCUGGGCAGGGUAACUGGCUAGAACAGGGACACCCUUGUCUUAGCCAAGGUCUAGACCUCAGCAGGCAAAAGUCAAUCCUUGGGACCCUGAACAAGUAAAAUGAGGGGUAAUGAUGUUGCUGUGCUGACAGGGUUUGUCAACAUGCGUUUUGAUGGAAAUUUACAGGAACAUUGUGACCUGACUGUGACCUAUGCGGACAGCUGCAAGAACAAAGGAUCCAACCUCAAAAAGUUUGCAACAACUAACCAUGCCUCUCCUCUCCCUGACUUUUCCUGCACAAGAGCUUUGCUGAAAGUCUUGGAGGAAUUUGGGGUUUCUAGAGCAUAAGCCACCUGUCUCCUUGCAUGGCCCUGCAAUAAACCUUUCUCUGCUCCAAAUUCCAGUGUUUUGAUAUGGUCUGGCCUCUGUGUGUGUGGGGGGGGGGUGCAGGGACUUGCAUUCAGUAAUGAUAUAUAGGCUAAUAUUCAAAUUGAUUCAUAUUUUACAAACUUCUGGACCUAUAAAGGAGCCACUGCCACAGACAAUUCACAAAGCGGUGUAUACUAAUAACUUAAAGGGACUGGUUUUAGUCUGUAGGAUCAUGGGAGAGGCUUUGGCCAUUCACUUUGCUAGAAUUCAUCAUGGAGUGACUGGCUGCUGGUGAUCAGGAGUGACGUUUACCCAGGUCCUGCUCCAGCUGGAAAUCCUUGCCCAUGUCAUGUCACCGCAGGGUCACAGGGCACCUGGAUGGGUAUCUCUACAUUCAUCUAGUGGGGAAGAGUUCGGGUAGGUUUACCGUGACAAAAAACGCUCGAUCAGAGGACUAUGUGGCUCCCAAUUUUGGCUUCUAGUUCCAGACCCCUCCUCCUCGUUCUGUCCACACAGGGAGCUUUGCUGACGCAGAGGCCCUUGCGGCUGUCAUGGCAACAAAAAGGCAGACAAAGCCGCCAGGACGGGCUGGCCCGUGUGACUCAAAGAUCUGUUUACCCACACUCCUGUACACACCUGUAUGCUUCCUCUCAUACACACUGCUACAAAUGCACACGUGCUCACACUGGCAUGCAGAAGCAUGUGUGGACAGACUGCCAAGCACACAAAUGGCCACACAGUCAUGUUCUUAUUAAUCUUCAAAGCCUGUGUUUCCAAAGUGCGUCACUGCCCCCAGUGGAACCUUGCCCAUCUUCCUGUAGCACGGGUGCUUGAGGCAGGAGGAAGUUGGGUUAGACAUCAAAAAACAGAAACAAAACAAAAUAAAACCAAAAAAACCAAACCAAACCCAAACCAAAUCUCCUCUUACCCUAACUGUUCUGAAACAAAGAGACUGGGGGAAGUCAGAGGCAGUCAUGGGUUCACAGUGUUUUUAUUUCAGUUUCACUGGAAAACGGCAUUGGGGGGGAGGCAUAAAGUAGUUUUUUUGAUGCACUUAGGAGCCUGGGGGGACCUUGUCUCCCCUUUUGCAGAGGAGCAAACAAGCCCAGAGAAGGUAAACACCUUCUUGAAGGUCACACGGUUCAGCUGCAUUAACAGUUGACUCCUUAUCCCUUGAUUUGUUCCAGAAAGGAUUUAAGGAGACAUAGGUUGUCAAUAAAUAAAGGCCAAAAUGGUACCCAGGCCUCUAAAUGCCAUCCAGUGUUGACUCUAAUAAGCAGAAUGGAUGGGCACCCAGGAGGGUGAGGGAUGCGUGAACUCAGGCACUGCAUCAUGUUAUGUCGCUUCUCCUUAGAGUGUGAGGCUUUGGGAAGGCACCUCUGCUGAGGAAAGCCUCUCCCCAAAGCGGUAAUUAAGGGCAAGCAAAUGGCUGUAUCCCACCCCCACUACCCCACGUGACACCCACAGCAAUGACAGAAAGGCCACAAGUCUCACAGGCCGGAAGAGCAGGUGGGAAGGGCAUGACACAUCACCUCUCAAACCUCGGCUUUCAGGAAACCAAGGUGCACAGAGGUCAGAGGGCCUGCUGGCCUAAGGCCAACAGCGUGGGGGGUGGGGUGGGGGGUGGGGCUACAUGGAGCAUCACUUCCAUUUCCAGGCUCUAAAGCCAGGGCCAUUCCACCUCGUCAUGAUGUUUCAGUCAUGAGACCUAGAAGAGGUAGAUUCUUUUAGUGUCUUUGGAAAUUUUCUCAGUCUUUUUUUGUUUUUUCUUCUUCUUAACAUGGAGAUCUUGUUUAUUUGUUUGAUUAGAUGCCGGGGAAGGCCUUGCAAUUAACAUGAAGAAGAUAAUGAAGGAGCUGGAGUGUGUGUCCUGCUUUCUUUUUAACCCCGAAGGUGGUAUAAUCCAGACUGUUACAGCACAAUGAUUCAAAGUUCUGACACAAGACUGAACUGGGUUUGAGUCACAGCUUGACCUCAGGCAAGUUCUUAACCUCACUUGCAAAGGAGGAAUAAACCCAGUACCUCUCAAAGCAUUUUAGUAUUAAACUGAACAAGAGAUGCAAAGUGUGUAGUCUAGCACAGAAUAGGUAUUUCAAGAGUCAAUUUUAACUAAGCAUUGCUAACAUUCCUAAGAAUGUAUCAUAGUGCACAAAACCUUCUAUCAAGGCCCUCUCCCAUCCAUCUCACUCUCUUCCCCAUUCUGCUUUGAAAAGAUAAUUUAUUGAGUGCUUACUAUGCGGUUGGCAUUGCUUUAGCUCAUGGGGAUACAGCAGCAAACAUAAGAGCAAAAAUCCUGGCCCCAUGGAGCUUACAUUCCCAAAGAAGAGACAGACAACAGAUAAUAAGCACAAUAUGAAGU
Molecule: long non-coding RNA, 5789 nt
Filed under: Sus scrofa (pig)
Lineage: Eukaryota; Metazoa; Chordata; Mammalia; Artiodactyla; Suidae
Description: lncRNA (ENSSSCG00005022311.1)
Source: RNAcentral